GGUGGCAUAGCCAAGUGGCAAGGCGUAGGUCUGCAAAACCUAUAUCCUCGGUUCGAAUCCGAGUGUCACCU
This 71-nucleotide transfer RNA is filed under the name Pseudobacillus badius. RNAcentral describes it as "Bacillus badius tRNA-Cys". It matches the Rfam family "tRNA". Rfam says of the family: Transfer RNA (tRNA) molecules are approximately 80 nucleotides in length. Lineage: Bacteria; Bacillati; Bacillota; Bacilli; Caryophanales; Bacillaceae. The record is from RNAcentral.